UGCCACUGACCUCCUAGAGCCACUUGC
This 27-nucleotide non-coding RNA is filed under the name Homo sapiens (human). The record is from RNAcentral. Lineage: Eukaryota; Metazoa; Chordata; Mammalia; Primates; Hominidae.